CCUACGGGUGGCAGCAGUGGGGAAUAUUGCACAAUGGGGGAAACCCUGAUGCAGCGACGCCGCGUGCGUGAAGAAGUAUUUCGGUACGUAAAGCUCUAUCAGCAGGGAAGAAAAAAAGUCCUUUGGACUUUGGACGGUACCUGACCAAGAAGACCCGGCUACCUACGUGCCAGCAGCCGCGGUAAUACGUAGGGGGCAAGCGUUAUCCGGAUUUAUUGGGUGUAAAGGGAGCGUAGACGGCAGCGCAAGUCUGAAGUGAAAUGCCGGGGCCCAACCCCGGAACUGCUUUGGAUACUGUUAAGCUGGAGUGCAGAUGAGGUAGGCGGAAUGCCUGGUGUAGCGGUGAAAUGCGUAGAGAUUAGGCAGAACACCAGUGGCGAAGGCAGCUUACUGGACUGUAACUGACGUUGAGGCUCGAAAGCGUGGGGAGCAAACAGGAUUAGAUACCCCGGUAGUC
Molecule: ribosomal RNA, 457 nt
Filed under: uncultured bacterium
Lineage: Bacteria
Description: partial 16S ribosomal RNA
Rfam family: Bacterial small subunit ribosomal RNA
Source: RNAcentral